UUCAUAACGAAGAAAUAGAUAAGUAGCGCAACAAUCAAUUUUUAAGAGACUUAGUGGUGCUGGGAACUAGGAUAUAUUGUUGGGUGAAUUACACUAUGGAGUUAUUUCGGGUCAUUUACGUUAUCAAUGCAAAAGAUGGCUGAAGACAUAUUUUCAGCAACUUGGGUGGUACCGCGGAAAAAUUCGUCCCUAAU
This 194-nucleotide non-coding RNA is filed under the name Ligilactobacillus hayakitensis. Its description in RNAcentral is "Lactobacillus hayakitensis T-box sequence". It matches the Rfam family "T-box leader". From Rfam's summary of the family: Uncharged tRNA acts as the effector for transcription antitermination of genes in the T-box leader family. T-boxes are found upstream of many aminoacyl-tRNA synthetase genes and some amino acid biosynthetic genes usually in Gram-positive bacteria. The record is from RNAcentral. Lineage: Bacteria; Bacillati; Bacillota; Bacilli; Lactobacillales; Lactobacillaceae.